Molecule: ribosomal RNA, 104 nt
Filed under: uncultured bacterium
Lineage: Bacteria
Description: partial 16S ribosomal RNA
Rfam family: Bacterial small subunit ribosomal RNA
Source: RNAcentral
CCUUGUACACACCGCCCGUCACGCCAUGGAAGUGGGUUGUACCAGAAGUCGGUGGCUUAACCGCAAGGGGGGCGCUGACCACGGUAUGGUCCAUGACUGGGGCG